UUUCACAAUCUUAAUUAUCAAUUAAAACUUGAAUUUAAAUUUGGAUUCACAAUAAAUUAAAUUUAAAUUCACAAUUCAAAUUUAAACAUUAUGAUUGAAUUCAAAAACUCAACUAUAAUUAGAAUUUAGUUUCACAUGUUUGGAAUCUAAUUUAUAUCUAGUAUGAUACUAACAUUCUUAAAAUGGCCACAGAAUAUCUCGCGCACAUAUGGCGAAUGCAGACAGAAGUUGUGCCAUGCAUCCCAUCAUACUAGCAAAAUGAACUGAGUGGACAACAUUAUAUGAUUCAGCCCAUUAUAAUGCAUAUAUUCAUUAAACGUAUUGAAAGUUUAAAUCUAAGGCUUCAUUUGGUUCGGGAAUUAGUAGGAACUAGUUUACCGGGGAUAGGUACAAGUAUGGAUUUUUGUAAGAUUAAGAGUAUUUUUUUGUUUGGAUGAAAAUGUGAGUAUAAGCUGAAACUAGAAAAAUUGUGUUUGGAUGGUUAUUGGAAAUAAGAGAAAUAAUUGAUGGUUAUAAAUAGAAAAUAAUGAUAUUACCCCUAUAAUUGAAUUUAAAUUUUUAAAUUUUAAACUUAUAAUUUUAAAUUAAAAAUUUUAACUUUUAAAUUUUAAAAUUUGAAAUUAAAAUUUAAAAUUUAAAUAUCCAAAUUUUUAAUUUAAAAUAUCAAAUUUUAAAUUUAAGACCAAAUUUAAAUUUGAAAUAUAUAAAAUAUCAAAUUUAAAAUCUAAAAAUUUAUAAUAUCAGAUUUAAAUUUUAAACUUUAAAAUUUACCAUUUACAAUUUACAAUUUUAAUUUGAAAAUUACAAAAUUUAAAUUUUAAAUUUCAAAACAAAACACUCUCUCUCUCUCUCAGUGGAUGCCAAGCUUGUUCCCACUCGGGGUGGGAACUAUUGUUCCCACCCCUUACCGGGUUAUACCAGAUAUAUCCUGAUAAGGUGGGAACAAUAGUUCCCACCUCACCAAAUUUUUGUUUGAGUAUAAAGGGGGGGAUAACCCCCUUAUCCCCCCCUUUAUACCCGAUCCAAACGGGAUCUAAGAGAAUUGGAAUAGAUUAAUAGAGCGAGUAAACCUAAAGAAAAGAACAUGCUAACAGAUACAUCCACAAACCAGUUUCAACAGAUACAGGUAAAAUUAACUUUAGGGACUCAAAACUCAUAUCAAAUAAGCAGAGGCGACAUGAUCAAAGGAAUAGUGUCUGUGCAAAACGCAAACCAAAAGCGGUUGAAGAGGGUCAAGUUCCUCUCUUUUUCCAUGUCUUUUAAUUGAAAAAUAUAACCAAGCACAAUGCACCAACUAAAUAGCAAGUAAUACCAUUACAUUGUUUAAAAUAUCCACUAAACUGAAAUUAUGAGUUUGACUUAAAGCUGUCCAAAAUAUCCGAUAUAUACCAUACCCGACCCGGACCUUACCCGGACCCUAUCCGGACCCGAACCGGACCCGAUAAAAAAUGGAUAGUAUACGUGUAAAAAAAAAAACCCAUUAAAGUUUCGGAUAUGGGUUCGGAUAUUUCAUACCCAUACCUGAUUUGGACCCGACCCGAACCCAACUUUUAAAUGGAUAGGGUCCAGAAUAGUUUUUAAAUUCGGACCCGGACCCGAACCCGGACCCGAUGAAAUAUUUGAUAGUAAAUAAAAAAAUUGUGAACUUUUAAAGUUGAGGGAUCAAUUUUGAUAGUAAAUAAAAAAAUUGUGGUACAAGUGAGUUUUUUUUUUUAAAUCCCUUCUCCAAUCAUAGUCGACAAUCUUUUUUUUUUAAUGAAUAUUCUAUCUAGUAAAUUUUCUGAUUCAUCAUUAUUUUUUUUCCUUUUUUUUUUGAAUGUUAGUAUAUAAUAUUAGUAAUUACUACAACUUAUAUUCUCUUUAUCUAUAAUAUGGUAUCAUAAUUUUUUAAUUUUUGUAUGUUUACAUAUAAAAUUAUUUUGAAGUUUAUACUUUUAAUCAGUAAAUACAAUGGCCGAAACAAAUUUUGCCAAACAAUUUAAUAAAGUCUAUAAAAAUAUAUAUAUACCGGUACCCGUACCCGACCCGUAUCCGGUUUUGAACGGGUAGUAUACAGAUAGUCACUACCCAGACCCGCUCAAAUAGACCCGAUGGGUAUAUUAGUAACUUAAGUAUCCAGAUNCUUUUCUUUUUUCUAAUUUUUUUACUCUUUGUUUUUAACUCUUUAUUUUUUUUGUUUUAUUUUCGCCUAAGAGUUUUUUAUGAAACAAUAUUUUCAUCGUCGUCAUCAUUAGCGAUAUUAAUCCUUUACAGGUGUGGUACAAGUGAGUUUUUUUUCCAAAUCACUUCUCUAAUCAUAGUCGACAAUCUAGUUUUUUUUAAUGAAUAUUCUAUUUAGUAAAUUUUCUAAUUCAUCUUUAUUUUUUUUCUUUUUUUUUGAAUGUUAGUAUAUAAUAUUAGUAAUUACUACAACUUAUAUUCUCUUUAUCUAUAAUAUGGUAUCAUAAUUUUUUAAUUUUUGUAUGUUUACAUAUAAAAUUAUUUUGAAUUUUAGACUUUUAAUCAGUAAAUACAAUGGCCGAAACAAAUUUUGCCAAACAAUUUAAUAAAGUCUAUAAAAAUAUAUAUAUACCGGUACCCGUACCCGACCCGUAUCCGGUUUUGAACGGGUAGUAUACAGAUAGUCACUACCCAGACCCGCUCAAAUAGACCCGAUGGGUAUAUUAGUAACUUAAGUAUCCAGAUCCGGACCCGACCCGAAGUAAAAUAGGUAGGGUUUUUUUUUUUUCUAACCAUUUCUUUUUAAGGUACGAAUACAGUAUAUCUAGUACCCGGACUCGACCCGGUCCACGGACACCUUUAGUUUGACUAUUAAGACAUACUAAGCACAGUUGUAAUUCCCUUAAUAAUUCAACUUACUCACAUGAACUCAUAAAUUACAUUCAAGAUAAAUCCGGAAAAAAAUA
This 2906-nucleotide long non-coding RNA is filed under the name Ananas comosus (pineapple). RNAcentral describes it as "long non-coding RNA (ACOM_LNC021625)". Lineage: Eukaryota; Viridiplantae; Streptophyta; Magnoliopsida; Poales; Bromeliaceae. The record is from RNAcentral.